This 837-nucleotide ribosomal RNA is filed under the name Faucicola atlantae. RNAcentral's name for it is "bacterial SSU rRNA". It matches the Rfam family "Bacterial small subunit ribosomal RNA", at positions 51 to 890 of the family's 1533-position model. Lineage: Bacteria; Pseudomonadati; Pseudomonadota; Gammaproteobacteria; Moraxellales; Moraxellaceae. The record is from RNAcentral.
ACACAUGCAAGUCGAACGAUGGAACCUAGCUUGCUAGGGGAAAUAGUGGCGAACGGGUGAGUAACAUUUAGGAAACUGCCUUAUAGAGGGGGAUAGCUCGGGGAAACUCGAAUUAAUACCGCAUACGUCCUACGGGAGAAAGGAGCUUUUGGGUUCUGCUAUAAGAUGUGCCUAAAUUAGAUUAGCUAGAUGGUGAGGUAAAGGCUCACCAUGGCGACGAUCUAUAACUGGUCUUAGAGGAUGAUCAGUCACACCGGAACUGAGACACGGUCCGGACUCCUACGGGAGGCAGCAGUGGGGAAUAUUGGACAAUGGGGGCAACCCUGAUCCAGCCAUGCCGCGUGUGUGAAGAAGGUCAUAAGAUUGUAAAGCACUUUAAGCAGGGAGGAAGAGCCAGUGGAGAAACACACUGGUGGUGACGUUACCUGCAGAAUAAGCACCGGCUAACUCUGUGCCAGCAGCCGCGGUAAUACAGAGGGUGCGAGCGUUAAUCGGAAUUACUGGGCGUAAAGCGGGUGCAGGUGGUGCACUAAGUCAUAUGUGAAAGCCCUGGGCUUAACCUAGGAACAGCAUAUGAUACUGGUGAACUAGAGUAUAUGAGAGGAAAGUAGAAUUCCAGGUGUAGCGGUGAAAUGCGUAGAGAUCUGGAGGAAUACCGAUGGCGAAGGCAGCUUUCUGGCACAAUACUGACACUCAGACCCGAAAGCGUGGGUAGCAAACAGGAUUAGAUACCCUGGUAGUCCACGCCGUAAACGAUGUCUACUAGCCGUUGGGGCUCAUGAAGCUUUAGUGGCGCAGCUAACGCGAUAAGUAGACCGCCUGGGGAGUACGGCCGCA